This 4110-nucleotide long non-coding RNA is filed under the name Drosophila guanche. The record is from RNAcentral. Lineage: Eukaryota; Metazoa; Arthropoda; Insecta; Diptera; Drosophilidae.
CGAAGAACUAAUGACAAGUAAAUGGCGUAACUUUUCUGUGAAUAAAUUGAACUAAUGAAGCGGAUUAAUGCAUAUUUAAAAUUAAUAAUGUGCAUGGCAAAAAGGGAGAAAAACUAAGGCAAGAAUUCAUUUAAAAAACGAAAAACCAUUUUUGUAAAUUGUUUCACUUGGGAAAAUCGACACGCUAAAGCAAAAACCAAAAAGUAAAUAGAGAGAUAAAUUAAAACACACAUUUAACUGGAUAAUUAAUAAAACAAAACAACACUAGACACACGCAAGAAGGAGUUGGAAGGAAGGAAGGGAAACACAACACAGAAGGACACGAAGGACAAAAAUCGAAGAAUUAAAGUCAAAUACAUAGACGUGUAUAUGCUCUCAUUGGUUGUGUUUUUAGGUUAUAAACAAAUAGGUUUGCCUCCGUGUGUGUGUGUGUGUGUGUGUGCCCACACUCACCGCAACGGACAAACAGACGGACAAAACAAUCGUUAAUUCAAUCAAUCAUUCAGCCAGUCAAUCGUUGAGUCGCACCAAAGACUCGUAAAUGUACAGUUCAUUUUGCACAUUGAAAACAAUAUUAAUUCAUAAAUUAAUUAUACAUUAAAUUUAGCCUACGAGAGCUAACAAGAGCGAAGGGGGACUUCCUAGUUAAGUGUAAAUUAUGCUAAUAAUGUCAAACAUUUUGAAUUUGCCUUUUUAAAAACGCGUUUUCUUGCUUUUAGGUGCUCGCCGUCUUUUAGGUUUCUAGCUAAAUAUUUAGUCUGCUUGAUAUACAAACAAAAAACGCAAACAAAUAGUUAUAAAUGUGAAGAAACCGUGUAAUUGAAAUACUGCCACAAACGAGACGAAAGAGUACAUAUUAAAUAGAUAUACAAUUAUUAUUGUAUGCCCAUUAACGAUAUACGAAUUAGUUAGUUAAGUGCAACAAACAAGAAACAUUUUUGGAAGCGUGUCCACAGCCAAGCACUCGACAGUUACAAUGUGGAAGCCAAGAAUAUAAUGUAUAUUUAGGUGCAGCAAAAUCAACUAAUCAAGUAUGCUAGGAACCUGCAGAAGGUUGCUCGAAGUUAACAUUUGUGGCUAAGUACUAACACUAAAUAGAAAAAAAACACUGUACAUAGAACAAAACUAACCCACACACACACCCAGCAAAAGCAGAUGCCAGUCAGCCACGCAUUUCAUUCUUGUAAACACACAGACAGACUACUCACAUACUCAUAAAGAUAAUGAAUCGUUGAAGCAACAAGAAUUUAUUUCCCAGUACAAUUCAUUUCCCCCAAUUACAGUUAAAGCAGACAACGAAAUUGAUAGAUGGAAGAAAACCCCAUAACCCGUAGAUAAAGCACAGGGAAAGACCUUGGCGAAGGGAGUCCGAAGUUGAAGAGAGAUUUCUUCGGCAUGACAACGCCAAGGGCCGACGUUCGAGCCACAAACGUGUUUCAUUUUAAAGCCAAAAGCAAUUGUUUAAGGCCCACAAACACACACUUAGCACUAACAGUAAACAUAAUUAGUUAAACGAGAAAAUAGUAACAAAAAAACAAAACACAAAAAAAAACUUAUGAUGUAAUAAAGUGAAAAUGAGAGAACGUAUUUGAUAUAUAUGCGGCUUGACCCUGAGAUUCAAAAAACAUAAAAUCGUAUGUCUUCCAAAUCAAAGGUCGUCUUUUGUAGCAAACACAACAAGAAUCAAAGUCUGCGUAUUGCUAAACGAAAACAAACAAAAAAAACCAGAAACAACAAACAGUCAAAACGAACAACAAAAUUGGAAGAAAAGCCGCUGUGGAGCUGGUUAGAAAAGAACACACAAAAAACUGUACCACACACACCCUACAGCAACACACACGCACACACCACACACAACUGCACCUGCAAAUUCAUUUACUUGCAAAUACUCGUAAGGAUUAGCAGCCAAAUCGAAACACUUUGGGCAAACUGUCUCUCCACGUUCUCUAACACUCUUCAGUUCCGCUCCCACUCCAGCAAACUAAUCAAGUACCUGACAAUAGAUGAAUUGAAACCUUUCUAGAAUUCUCUCGCCAAAAAGCUCGUCUUGUACAUACAAAAUGACAAAUGUUUCAUCCGAUUUGGCUAGCCAAUUUGCGCAAAGUAAACACACACAAACAAAUAAACACACACAUCAAUUAAUUAUAUUAAAAACGGUUUCAACAGCAGCAAAACACACACAAGACAACAAAGCAAAAACAAAGCGAACAAAUUUCGAGCAACUCUCAUCAUCUCAUCUCCCAGAAGUCAGCAAAGAUUAAUGACAGCAAAAAUGCAAUUAAAACGAAUUUGAAAUGUUUUUUCCUGUAUGUAUAAACCGAACAGUGACAGCACACAUGACUUUUGUAAAAUAUUUCUGAAUACAUAAAUCCCUAAAUUCACUUUCCAGCAGUAGAAUUUUUCGAUGCAUUUUCCAACAGUUUUGCAAGCAGCACCAGAGACACAACAUACACCCCACUCCCCCACAACAAUCAAUGUACUCAAGUAGCUAAUGUAUUUGUAUUUAUGCAACUGUGUGAAUGUGUGUGUGUGUGUGAGCGAACAGGAAACGGAAAUCAAAUGUAUAAAUUCAUCAACUGCAAGCCACUCGAGUAUAUGAACUAUAAACACACAUACAUAUAUAUGUACAUGUGCGAGUACGUAUAUAUAUAUACGGGUAUUUAUAUACAUACAUACAGAUAGUUAUAGAUACUAUACAAUAUACUAUACUAUACACACACGGGUAUGUAUAUUUUUUGUAUUAACUGUUAGGUGCCGCUAGACUGUAAGUGCGCUUCCGUUUGCAAACGUUUUCUUUUGGUUUCUUGUUUGUGUAUUUUACUUUCGGUUCGUUUAAAAGUGCAAAAGAAAUACGACAAGCAGAAGUAAAAAUCAAUUUUAGCAGCAAGAUUUUUAACGUAAAAACAAAUGGUAAUACUUAAACGAAAAUCUUGCAACUCACUGGGGAAAACAACACCACAAACAAUUAAAUGUAAAAGAAAGAAACGAGCGCUAAGGCAUGCGUGUAUGUAACUAACUAAUAUUUGCUCAAAGAAGAAAACCAAAAAAAAAACAAAAAAUAUAUGACUAAUAAAUAUGCAUACAUAUACGCAGCCGCAGCAUUAGAUAUUUAUAGUAUAGAUAUGUGGAAAUGACUCUUAGUUAGGCGUUGGCCGAACGCUCACUAAAAACACAAAACUCUACACCCAGAAUCAGUCUUGACUAAAUUGAAAAUUUAGUUAAUGCAACAACAACAACAAACACAUAACGUAAGUAGGCUAAGGUGCGAAUGGUGUGUAAAAUAUUUUGCAACUAAAACUAAUACUAAAAAUACAAAAACAAAGUUAGAACUAAAUUUAGCCUAAGUCAACGUCGAACACUGCAAAUCACAAACCAGCAAGAACCGAACCGGAGGCUAAUGAAAGAAGACAUUUUGCGCAUCAAAUAUUUCAAAUAAAUGUGUCAAAAAAACAAUUAAAUUAAAUCUAAAACAAAAAGAAAAGAAAAAACGUUGCAUUUACAUUUCACAUAAACAAAGGAAUACCUAACAAUACAUGCAUAAAUAUGAAUACUAUAUACAUAUAUAUAUAUAUAUAUAUUAAAUAUAUAUUCGAAACUCUCUUGAACAACACAAAAAAAAACCACAUUUAACACACAAAGCAAAACACAAACAAGCAACAAGAAAAAUUACACACAGCCGCAGACAGACACUCAGCAGACAAUUGAAAAAUUGAAAAUUAAAAUACUAAAACGAAAAGGAAACUUGAUCAAAUUUAACAAAGCAAACGAAACGAAAAUUCAACAUAAAAAUUAUUAAUACAAAAACAAAUGCUAGAAUAAAAAUAUGUUAACACAACCAAAACAAUUUCAAAAGGAAAUGGGAAAUGAAAAGAACGCAUUCAAAACUUAAAUGUAAGACACUAAAUAAAAAUAAAAGAAAAAAAAAACUAUGCUAAAUGCAAGAACAAACGGAAAUAAUAGCAACAAUUGCGAAUGAAUAACAACACUAAAAUUGAAAACAAUUUAAAAACAAAAAAACCCAAACCAUAAAAAACGAAAAACAAUUAAUAUAUAAAUAAAUGUUACGCGUUAUUAAAUAAAGAAGAAUGAAAUAAUUUGUUUUAAAAAAAA